GUGAGGAAGGUAGGGGAGUGACGUCAAAUACAGACACGGCCCUUACGUCCGGGGCGACACACGUGUUACAAUGGGUGGUACAAAGGGCAGCUACCUGGCGACAGGAUGCUAAUCUCCAAAACCACUCUCAGUUCGGAUCGGAGUCUGCAACUCGACUCCGUGAAGCUGGAUUCGCUAGUAAUCGCGCAUCAGCCACGGCGCGGUGAAUACGUUCCCGGGCCUU
RNAcentral lists this ribosomal RNA (223 nucleotides) under uncultured Proteiniphilum sp. Its description in RNAcentral is "partial 16S ribosomal RNA". It matches the Rfam family "Bacterial small subunit ribosomal RNA", at positions 1164 to 1382 of the family's 1533-position model. Lineage: Bacteria; Pseudomonadati; Bacteroidota; Bacteroidia; Bacteroidales; Dysgonomonadaceae. The record is from RNAcentral.